UUGACCUGGGAAUUCCCAGUUUCCAGAACUGUGAGAAAUAAAUUUUUUAUGAUUUACCCAGUCUAAGAUAUUUUGUGACAGCAGCAGGAAUGGACUAACAUACUGGGUCUAGCAAAGAGUUCUCAAGUGCACUGCUUCUCUCCCACCACUGCCUGUUCUCACUUUCUUUCGAAGACGUGAGUAACAGUUUCCACAUCUGUUUGGUCCCUCAAAAGGCAAAGAUGAAGUACAGAAGAAAUAUAUGGAUCACAGGCAAGAUCCAAAGCUGGCUGCAGUCUCUGAGGCCUGAGCCUUCCGUGAAGGCUCUUGCCCCUCCUUGUUCCAUACAUCUUUCUUCUUCAUAGCAAGACACUCCCAUUAAGCCCAAAAGCCCAGAGUGCAACUCAGAUAUACAAUAUAUUACCUGUUGCAUCACUUUCUUUGAUAUAGUUUGACUCAGUGUCCC
Molecule: long non-coding RNA, 445 nt
Filed under: Pan troglodytes (chimpanzee)
Lineage: Eukaryota; Metazoa; Chordata; Mammalia; Primates; Hominidae
Description: lincRNA
Source: RNAcentral